CUUUUAUUAAAUUAUCAUUUCGCGCUUCCUCGCCAUUUAAACACUGACCACCCAGCCAAGGUGAAGUUGAAUGUUAAGUUUAGAUUGACAAAAUGUGACUAUUUAAUAAAUAUGUCAAUGUCACCCUCAGCCGGCGUUGCAUGCAGACAGAAACUGCUAUUUUUUUUGGCAUCGCGGUGGUGAAGCCGGCACGCCUUACCUGUGUGGCCGGGUCGGGACAGCGCCAAAGUCCGGGCUCCUGUAGCCGAGAACCGGAGCACAGCGCGGAACAUAGCGAGGUUGGUAGGUGGCUGCUAACUGCUAGCGUGCGGGCUAAAGGACUGCGCGGCGGACACACACGAAGUGGAGGCGACGCCGUGUCACGUGACUGACGGAAA
This is a long non-coding RNA of Nerophis ophidion (straightnose pipefish), 377 nucleotides long. RefSeq lists it as uncharacterized. The transcript is spliced from 2 exons. The record is from RefSeq and is a predicted model, not a curated record. Lineage: Eukaryota; Metazoa; Chordata; Actinopteri; Syngnathiformes; Syngnathidae.